CAGCAGUUAUUUAUUUGGUGUGUACUUUUCCCCUGAGAAAAUGGACUUGGUCUCAGCCUUAUUUGUUCACCGUAGCUAUCUCCAUUGUAGAUUAAAUGUCUUGCCAUCUCUCCUGUCUUUCAUUUUCCUUCUCAUGCCAACCGUGGUGAUAAAACAGUACCAAAAAGGCUCCAAUGCUUCCAACCAGUGGCUUGAUUGCUUGUGUCAUGUGUCUCUAGUCCCAUCUCAAGGGAGAAGUUUAUCAAUGGUGUUACAAAUAAAUAAGGUAGUGUCCUGUUUUAGGAAGAAAGUGUGUUGCAUUUUAAACCCUUGGGUAGGACAGAAGGAGGCUGCCUUCUUGGGUCAGUGAUGAGUGUUGGCAUGUAUUAUCUGAUCUAAAGUUGAUGCCUAUCACCACUUUAGCUCUAGAAUUACUCUGAGACCCAGGAAGCUCCAGUUCCUUUUGGCUGCAACCGUGGAGCUUUUCCAAACUGUGGAAUCAAAUUCCUGUCACAAAUUCUAACCCAGUGUAAGGAGAAGGGGGCACAGUUUGAGUUUUCUUCCAUUUACGUGAGAGAGAGUUAUAGUUCUUGGGUUGAUACCGGCUGUUACUAGGAGAUGCUUUCACGUUAACUGAACGCAGCUCUGGAUACCCAAAGCUGAACAGUGUUAGCAAAUGCCGAUGUAGAGAUCUGGUGGCAAACUUAACCUGCCUGUCUCAAGGAGCAUGCAUGUUCUUGAUUCACAAACACUGUUUAGUCCCACCUGUGCAUCCAGAAUGCUUGAAGGGUCAGGUCACAUCUUCCUUUGAUUGCAAUGAGCAGUCAGGUGUUCAGAUUUGCUUUUUAGGGAGCAUGCUAUGGUUAUAUCUUUUCUCUUGGGGUUUGUUAUAUUAUUUCUGAAAUGCAAUAAAAGCUCAACUGAAGGAAUGUGAUAUCCAAUGUAGCAGAGUGUGUUUUCAUGAAGAAAAGACUUACAUCAGUUUGACCCCCAGAUUACAUUGUUUUAAAAUUUGUGGCCAGGUUCAACUUCAAAUGUUGACUUGGGGUAUUAAUUGCUCAAUGUUUGUGUUGGGAGAGGUCUGUUGGUGUGGAUAUGCCCAGCAGUCAUUCAUCUGCAGGAGAAACAGCUACAAGGUUCUCCCUCAGCGCUGCAGCAAUCUUGGCACUUCUGGGAAAACUGGAAGCUCUUGAUGUGGGGAAAGCAAUAGAUUUGUUUUUUUCCUGUAUGAGCUCAGAUGGAGGAUUUGGUUCUGAAUCACAUGCAGGACGGGUUAGUAGUGAAAUUGGUUAUCCCUCUGGCUACAGAUCCAUCUUGGUACUUCAUGAGAAGUUGGUCAGAGUAGGUGGAGUCCUUUGUGUUAAACUGACAACGGGUGACACCGUAACAGGACGCAGUGAGAAAACCUGAUGGCCGAGCAUGUUACUUUUGGAGAAACACGUGGCCUAUAUAGCUUUGUAUGGGACAAGGAAAGGCAACUAUAACUAAAAUAAUGCCCUGCUUAGGGGCGCAGUCUGUCGGAGUAUUUGAGGAUGAGCAGUGUUUCCUGGGGGCGGACAGCGAUGGAUCUCAUGGGAUGGCUGCACUGAAUGAAGACGGAUGAAAUUCUGGCAUUCAUCUAAUCAUGUCAGUACAGAUGUGGUGCAGUAAGGGCCAGCACAGGUCACAAUUCUUGUCUGCUGUCAACCCUCAGCAUGUCCAGGUAAAUGUAACAGGGUAAUUGUAGAAACAACUACUUGCAAUUAAUGAUCUUGAUGAUUGGAGACUUAGGAACCAGGUGCUGUUUGAUACCAAUGGCAAAAAAUAUUUCAGUACAUUAUUAAGAAAUAAUCUAACGGGCAAAACUUAAGGAUUCAUCUCCAAAAAAAAGUAUAUAUUCAUAUUUGGGAACACUGUGCUUUUAAUGUUCCUUUACUGGUGAUUUUGUCUGCAUUCUUCAUGAAUUUUGUAGCAGUCUCUGCUACAGGUCUUAGUGGAAUCUUGUAGAUAAUUACUUUUGGAUUUUAUGAAUUCUUCUUGGUGUACAUUGAGGUGAAAGACGUGUAUGGCCAGAGGAAGAGUAAAGGUUUGGAUUUUAUAGGUGUUUAUAUGCACAGAAAUAUGACUAUUGUAAUAUAUAAUUAAAUAAUUAUGUAAUGUCUAUAUAAAAUAUAUAUGCAGUACAUACACUUGUGCAGUGUGUUUCCACUUUAGUACUAUACAAAAGAAGUGUUGUGGUAGUCAGUUCUUCUGUUGUGUUCCUCAAAUCUUUUUUCCUGUAUAACUUUAAAAUUAUACCAGUCUGUUCAGCAGUUAUUUAUUUGGUGUGUACUUUUCCCCUGAGAAAAUGGACUUGGUCUCAGCCUUAUUUGUUCACCGUAGCUAUCUCCAUUGUAGAUUAAAUGUCUUGCCAUCUCUCCUGUCUUUCAUUUUCCUUCUCAUGCCAACCGUGGUGAUAAAACAGUACCAAAAAGGCUCCAAUGCUUCCAACCAGUGGCUUGAUUGCUUGUGUCAUGUGUCUCUAGUCCCAUCUCAAGGGAGAAGUUUAUCAAUGGUGUUACAAAUAAAUAAGGUAGUGUCCUGUUUUAGGAAGAAAGUGUGUUGCAUUUUAAACCCUUGGGUAGGACAGAAGGAGGCUGCCUUCUUGGGUCAGUGAUGAGUGUUGGCAUGUAUUAUCUGAUCUAAAGUUGAUGCCUAUCACCACUUUAGCUCUAGAAUUACUCUGAGACCCAGGAAGCUCCAGUUCCUUUUGGCUGCAACCGUGGAGCUUUUCCAAACUGUGGAAUCAAAUUCCUGUCACAAAUUCUAACCCAGUGUAAGGAGAAGGGGGCACAGUUUGAGUUUUCUUCCAUUUACGUGAGAGAGAGUUAUAGUUCUUGGGUUGAUACCGGCUGUUACUAGGAGAUGCUUUCACGUUAACUGAACGCAGCUCUGGAUACCCAAAGCUGAACAGUGUUAGCAAAUGCCGAUGUAGAGAUCUGGUGGCAAACUUAACCUGCCUGUCUCAAGGAGCAUGCAUGUUCUUGAUUCACAAACACUGUUUAGUCCCACCUGCGCAUCCAGAAUGCUUGAAGGGUCAGGUCACAUCUUCCUUUGAUUGCAAUGAGCAGUCAGGUGUUCAGAUUUGCUUUUUAAGGAGAAAAAGCAAUGAUGAGAUAUUUUGUUGGGGUUGUACAUUCCUCUUUGUGUUUGCAGUUGGUAUUUCCUGGAAGGUUAGAUUUGUUAUGCAUAUUCACAUACUCUUUAAAAUGCUGUAAAUGGCAGCUACUUUGCACAGCAGUUAAAAUCUUGUGGGACUAUUACAUGUACCUUGCCAUGUUCUUGGAUAAGCAUAUCCCUAUUGGUGUGUGUCCUUUUGUUUCUGUUGGUUGUUUGGGUUUUUUUCUUGGGGGGGAGGGGGGUGUUCUUAUCAGGGGAAGAUGAUUAUGAGUAGGCUUCAGUUGAUACUGUGGUUUCCUGCAAUUUGUACUUUCCUAGUGACUGCCUUGAAAUGUGGCCUGAAACACUGCAAACAUUUCCCAGGGGAAAUAGAGGCAUUUGUCAAUGCCUAUGUAUUACCUGACACAUUGUAAAUAAGCCUGGUGGUAGAUGUACGUGGGAUUGCCAGGAACAUUAAUGAUCAGGGUUAAUCUGUCCAUUUGGUCUGUAGCUUGCCCUCCGUAAGCCUUAGGGUAAGAGAAUAUACAGGGUCAAACCACAGGCUGGAUGCAGAAUUGUCCUAAAGGCAGUUUGAGUACUCUGUGGGCUUUGUUUAAAGAAGACAGUAGUGCUCUGCCUGAUCUUCUAGGAUCUUUUUCCAAACUUUGUACUAGUGUAAUAGUUAAACAUUACUAUUCUGUAAUUACCUUGUGUAACUGGAACUUUUAUACAAAAGCAACAUUAAUGGAAAAGUAAAACUCAUUUGAAAC
Aptenodytes forsteri (emperor penguin) is the source of this 3866-nucleotide long non-coding RNA. RefSeq lists it as uncharacterized. The record is from RefSeq and is a predicted model, not a curated record. Lineage: Eukaryota; Metazoa; Chordata; Aves; Sphenisciformes; Spheniscidae. The transcript is spliced from 6 exons.